This 550-nucleotide ribosomal RNA is filed under the name uncultured bacterium. Its description in RNAcentral is "bacterial SSU rRNA". It matches the Rfam family "Bacterial small subunit ribosomal RNA", at positions 355 to 896 of the family's 1533-position model. The record is from RNAcentral.
UGGGGAAUUUUGGACAAUGGGCGCAAGCCUGAUCCAGCCAUUCCGCGUGAGUGAAGAAGGCCUUCGGGUUGUAAAGCUCUUUCGCAAGGGAAGAAAACUUACAUUCUAAUAAAGUGUGAGGCUGACGGUACCUUGAUAAGAAGCACCGGCUAACUACGUGCCAGCAGCCGCGGUAAUACGUAGGGUGCGAGCGUUAAUCGGAAUUACUGGGCGUAAAGCGUGCGCAGGCGGUUUUGUAAGUCAGAUGUGAAAUCCCCGAGCUCAACUUGAGAACUGCGUUUGAAACUACAAGACUAGAAUAUGUCAGAGGGGGGUAGAAUUCCACGUGUAGCAGUGAAAUGCGUAGAGAUGUGGAGGAAUACCAAUGGCGAAGGCAGCCCCCUGGGAUAAUAUUGACGCUCAUGCACGAAAGCGUGGGGAGCAAACAGGAUUAGAUACCCUGGUAGUCCACGCCCUAAACGAUGUCUACUAGUUGUUGGUGGAGUAAAAUCCAUGAGUAACGCAGCUAACGCGUGAAGUAGACCGCCUGGGGAGUACGGUCGCAAGAUUA